AAGGAUGGCCAUUGGCCACCUUCGGCCAUGACAGCAAGGUCCCCAUCCACCCAUUGGUCACCCGAGCAUCUCCCACGUGACCCCUGACCCAUCCUACGCCACUCCUCGCGCUCGGUUGUGCACAGCUCCGCCCGCACGGCAUAGGCGCCUUACAGACAGAGCACCGCCAUGAGGCUGCCAUGCCUGGCGCUUGCCCUUGCUGCCAAUAGCCACCCAGCGUCGCCGUGUCGUUCCUAUCCGUUCC
This 244-nucleotide long non-coding RNA is filed under the name Setaria italica (foxtail millet). Its description in RNAcentral is "long non-coding RNA (SITA_LNC007089)". Lineage: Eukaryota; Viridiplantae; Streptophyta; Magnoliopsida; Poales; Poaceae. The record is from RNAcentral.